CCUACGGGUGGCAGCAGUGGGGGAUAUUGCACAAUGGGGGAAACCCUGAUGCAGCGACGCCGCGUGGGUGAAGAAGCGCCUCGGCGCGUAAAGCCCUGUCAGCAGGGUAGAAAAUGACGGUACCUGAAGCAGAAGCCCCGGCUAACUACGUGCCAGCAGCCGCGGUAUUACGUAGGGGGCAAGCGUUAUCCGGAUGUACGGGGUGUAACGGGGGCGCAGACGGCGUGGCAAGUCAGUAGUGAAAGCCCGGGGCGCAACCCCGGGACUGCUCUUGGAACUGCGUGGCUAGAGUGCAGGAGAGGCAGGCGGAAUGCGUGGUGUAGCGGUGAAAUGCGUAGAUAUCAGGAGGAACACCGGUGGCGAAGGCGGCCGGCUGGACUGCAACUGACGUUGAGGCCCGAAAGCGUGGGGAGCAAACAGGAUUAGAUACCCGAGUAGUC
RNAcentral lists this ribosomal RNA (440 nucleotides) under uncultured bacterium. RNAcentral describes it as "partial 16S ribosomal RNA". It matches the Rfam family "Bacterial small subunit ribosomal RNA", at positions 338 to 795 of the family's 1533-position model. The record is from RNAcentral.